This 320-nucleotide ribosomal RNA is filed under the name uncultured bacterium. Its description in RNAcentral is "bacterial SSU rRNA". It matches the Rfam family "Bacterial small subunit ribosomal RNA", at positions 29 to 339 of the family's 1533-position model. The record is from RNAcentral.
AACGAACGCUGGCGGCGCGCCUAAUACAUGCAAGUCGAGCGAGAAGACGUAGCAAUACGUUUGUAAAGCGGCGAACGGGUGAGGAAUACAUGGGUAACCUACCCUCGAGUGGGGAAUAACUAGCCGAAAGGUUAGCUAAUACCGCGUACGCUCCUCGGACUUCGGUUCAGGGAGGAAAGCGAUACCGUGGGUAUCGCGCUCUUGGAUGGGCUCAUGUCCUAUCAGCUUGUUGGUGAGGUAACGGCUCACCAAGGCUUCGACGGGUAGCUGGUCUGAGAGGACGAUCAGCCACACUGGCACUGCGACACGGGCCAGACUCC